This is a non-coding RNA of Acanthosepion pharaonis, 114 nucleotides long. Lineage: Eukaryota; Metazoa; Mollusca; Cephalopoda; Sepiida; Sepiidae. The record is from the annotation of a GenBank genome assembly.
UUACGGCCAUAUCACGUUGAAAGAUCGGUUCCCGUACGAACACUCAAGUUAAGCAACAUCGAGCCUGGUCCGUGUACAUUAAUGGGUGACUCUUGGGAAUACUAUGAGCUGUAA